UACAACUGGGGAAGAGACCAUUCUAGAAAGCC
This 32-nucleotide non-coding RNA is filed under the name Rattus norvegicus (Norway rat). The record is from RNAcentral. Lineage: Eukaryota; Metazoa; Chordata; Mammalia; Rodentia; Muridae.